Molecule: non-coding RNA, 112 nt
Organism: Paenibacillaceae bacterium GAS479
Lineage: Bacteria; Bacillati; Bacillota; Bacilli; Caryophanales; Paenibacillaceae
Source: Rfam
GAGAGUUGAGCCCUCAAAAUAGUAACGUAGGCUUCAAACCACCGUAAGCUGUUGUAAUCAAAAGUUUUGGUAGUGAGUCUUACUGAAAGGUGAAGUUACAGACUUCUUAGGU